This is a long non-coding RNA of Bombus huntii, 485 nucleotides long. RefSeq lists it as uncharacterized. The transcript is spliced from 2 exons. The record is from RefSeq and is a predicted model, not a curated record. NCBI's taxonomy places the organism in Eukaryota, Metazoa, Arthropoda, Insecta, Hymenoptera, Apidae.
AGUACCUGAAUAACAAUAAGAAGAAAAAAACGGAUUUUAUUUCCGCUUCGGUAAAUUAGGUAUAAAAAAGGAUAGAAACUGCUACCAAAGAACUUUGACGCAGUUAGGUUUCACUGAAUUAGAUUUUGACCUUGCACGCCUUUGAUUGAUUAUACAAGCAGCUAUUAUCGAUAUCUUUGUGUAAAAAGGCAAUCGAUAGCAGCAUACGCCUAUUAAUUGUGAACAUAUUCGCAAGGAAUCAAGUGGACGAUCUUAAUGUUGUAAACGUUAUAGUUAAUUUCCCAACUAGCACAAUUCAUGUGAAAAAAUGUAUUUCUACUGAAUCUCAAGUAACACUCUAGAUGUAUUUAUUAAGAAAGAUGAUAUGACCUUAAAGGAAGAUAUGUCGAUAUCCGUACAAGAUGUUUGAACUGAAAUAUUCCAUUUCUUUAAUUAUGCUCAUAAAAAUAUAAAAUUGCAUCAACAUCCGCAGUUUAGUAAUAAGA